This 628-nucleotide ribosomal RNA is filed under the name Filobasidium uniguttulatum. Its description in RNAcentral is "eukaryotic LSU rRNA". It matches the Rfam family "Eukaryotic large subunit ribosomal RNA", at positions 47 to 663 of the family's 3401-position model. The record is from RNAcentral. Lineage: Eukaryota; Fungi; Basidiomycota; Tremellomycetes; Filobasidiales; Filobasidiaceae.
UAAGCGGAGGAAAAGAAACUAACAAGGAUUCCCCUAGUAACGGCGAGCGAAGCGGGAAGAGCUCAAAUUUGAAAUCUGGUGGCCUCAGGUCAUCCGAGUUGUAAUCUAUAGAAGUGUUUUCCGUGCUGGCCCAUGUACAAGUCCCUUGGAACAGGGCGUCAUAGAGGGUGAGAAUCCCGUCCUUGACAUGGACUACCAGUGCUCUGUGAUACACUUUCAACGAGUCGAGUUGUUUGGGAAUGCAGCUCAAAAUGGGUGGUAAAUUCCAUCUAAAGCUAAAUAUUGGCGAGAGACCGAUAGCGAACAAGUACCGUGAGGGAAAGAUGAAAAGCACUUUGGAAAGAGAGUUAAACAGUAUGUGAAAUUGUUGAAAGGGAAACGAUUGAAGUCAGUCGUGCUCAAUGGACUCAGCCGUUCUGCGGUGUAUUUCCAUUGGGUGGGGUCAACAUCAGUUUUGAUCGCUGGAUAAAGGCAGGAGGAAUGUAGCACCCCCGGGUGAACUUAUAGCCUCUUGUCACAUACAGUGGUUGGGACUGAGGAACGCAGCAUGCCUUUAUGGCCGGGAUUCGUCCACGUACAUGCUUAGGAUGUUGACAUAAUGGCUUUAAACGACCCGUCUUGAAACACG